UUCCUGGUGACUCAGAUGGUAAAGACUCUGUCUGCAAUGCAGGAGACCAGGGUUCAAUCCCUGGUCAGGAAG
Molecule: transfer RNA, 72 nt
Filed under: Bos taurus (domestic cattle)
Lineage: Eukaryota; Metazoa; Chordata; Mammalia; Artiodactyla; Bovidae
Also listed under: 3 other names
Rfam family: tRNA
About the family: Transfer RNA (tRNA) molecules are approximately 80 nucleotides in length. Their secondary structure includes four short double-helical elements and three loops (D, anti-codon, and T loops).
Source: Rfam by way of RNAcentral